GUUGGCAUACAGGUUGCAGAGGGGGCGCCCGUGCUAAGCCAGGUGCUGUGUGUGAACUCACUGCUAAGCCAGGUGCUGUGUGUGAACUCACUGCUAAGCCAGGUGCUGUGUGUGAACCUGCUGCUAAGCCAGGUGCUGUGUGUGAACCUGCUGCUAAGCCAGGUGCUGUGUGUGAAUGGGAUGCUAAGCCAAGUGCUGUGUGUGAACUCGCUGCUAAGCCAAGUGCUGUGUGUGAACUCGCUGCUAAGCCAAGUGCUGUGUGUGAACUC
This is a long non-coding RNA of Myotis brandtii (Brandt's bat), 269 nucleotides long. RefSeq lists it as uncharacterized. The record is from RefSeq and is a predicted model, not a curated record. The transcript has 3 exons. Lineage: Eukaryota; Metazoa; Chordata; Mammalia; Chiroptera; Vespertilionidae.